UUAGCUCAUAUUUGUAUGGGAUGGGAUCGUUUGCGUACGUUUGCCGCUAGGGGCGCUGUUCCAACUGCAUACAAAAUUGGCUUA
RNAcentral lists this microRNA precursor (84 nucleotides) under Bombyx mori (domestic silkworm). RNAcentral describes it as "mir-2807 microRNA precursor family". It matches the Rfam family "mir-2807 microRNA precursor family". The record is from Rfam by way of RNAcentral. Lineage: Eukaryota; Metazoa; Arthropoda; Insecta; Lepidoptera; Bombycidae.